RNAcentral lists this long non-coding RNA (2982 nucleotides) under Homo sapiens (human). RNAcentral's name for it is "HSALNT0323024". Lineage: Eukaryota; Metazoa; Chordata; Mammalia; Primates; Hominidae. The record is from RNAcentral.
GGUCUUGCUCUGUUGCCCAGGCUGGAGUGCAGUGGUGCAAUCAUGGCUUACUGCAGCCUCAACCUCUUGGGCUCAAGCAAUCCUUCCACGUCAGCAGGAGCUACAUGUCAUCCUCUCAAGUAGCUGGGACUAUAGUCCACAGAUUUACAACUUGAGGUGGCCUGCACCAGACCCACGGGGCAAUAACAGUCUUCCAUUGAAUUCUUUAGCAGUUUCUACAAUUGCAUAAGGAUUCUACGUGUUUUAAGAGUUGGUCCUACCUUUCUUCUCGAUCCACUUGAUCACAAAGCAACCUUUCUAGAACAUCGUUUUCGCCAUCACAAGACAGUUGGUUCCAGAUGUUAACAAGAUCAACCUUGCUGGGAAAUGAACAAGCGACCAGUUUUGUAGGCUCCUACCAGUGAAAGCCUCCUCACAACUCUCUUCUUCUCCCCAAGGACUGCGUGCAAUUCUACUUGGAGAUCUUCAUAACACCUUAAGGGAAAAAUCCUUUUUGAAAGAAAAACAAGUCUGGGUGGUGCUUGAAAAUUCAGAAGGCAGCUAGAAACUCUGCCAAUUACAACUGGUGAUUGCUGAGUUCUGGAGACAGACUGGGCUUCUGCUUUCUUUUGGUGGAGGUGUCUGCUUGCAGAAAAUUUAUGUUCUGGGAUUUACAACUUCAGGGAGACAAAGGAAACUCCAGCUCAUCUCCCACAUCAUUGAUUGAGAGGACCAUUUUCUGACUGUCUGCACACUGGUGCUUCGUGAACCCUGGAUGCUACAGUCUCUGGCCACAGCACUAAAUGUAUGCUGAGAUCUGGCUUCACGGUCGAGGGUGUUGCUGGUUUUCAAUGUGCCUGACAUAGGAUCAAUGGUGAAUGCACCAGAAGCCUCAUCAGUCAGAAAAUACUCAGUUUGCCCAUUCAGGCCUUCAUCCUUGUCCACAGCUGAAAGCACAAGAACCACUGUUCCCACUUCAGCAUCUUCUCUCACAGAGGACUGGUAAUAAAGUGUGGGAAAAGAAGGACUGUGGUCAUUGGCAUCCAAAACUCUAACUUGCAGGUGUAUUACAGAGCUCCUAGGUGGAUCUCCCAGGUCAGAGCACAGAAUGACAAGGGUAAAAUUGCUGAUUUGCUCCCGGUCCAAAGCACGAGUGGUUGAGAGUUCUCCUGACAUCUCAUUUAUAGUAAAGCACUCAUCAGUAUUUCCAUCUAUUAAAGAAAACAAUUACAAAUUCAUUUGAAUUGAAAAAGUAGCAGCUCUUUGCUAGCACUAUCUAUGGUAUUCAUUUAUACAUUCAUUAAAAAUAUAUUUAUUCCCGAUUAUAUUGUAUCCUAGCACUUUUGUAAAUAUUGGGGAUAUAACAGUAAGCAUGAUAAAGGCUCUGCCCUCAUGAAACUUCUAUUGAGGGGAUAAACAGAAUAAUAUGAUUCAAUGCCUAUCUUUAAUCAGUCAAUAAUUAGAACACUUGCUUUCACUAAUUUGCAGCCGUAUGAUUUUUUGUGUGCAUCUACAACUUUUAAUUUUAAUAUAUUUUUCCUCAUAAGAGGAUGAAGAUAUAUGUUUUAUUUAACACAAAACAAUAGAUGAGGAUAAAAAAAACAGAAUAUAAUGUCCUUUUUUAAGAUAUCAAUCAGAAAUGAACAGAUUUGAUUUGUAGUUAUUUUCUCAAAUAGUACCCACUACAGUAUUCAUGCCUGUUAUACUAUUGCAGUAAGCCUUCUCUUCUACAUGUCCACAGCAUUUUGUACAAGAAUCAUAACACUUUGGUUAGAGUUAGUUGGACACUUGACUAUUUCUUCCAAAACAUAAAUAAGGACAUUGUUCUAUUCAUCUAUUCCUUAAAAAAAAUCUGCCCUUUAUUAUAUUCCAUCGUAUCAAGUAGAAUAAAACUUAAAAUUGAACACAGGGACAAAAAGCUUUCAAAGACAUUUUUAAAUAACCCUGAAAAUUAGUGAAGAAAAAUGUGGUUCAUAUGCUUGCCAGCCAUAUUCUUGGAUGAAGAGCAGGCCCAAUAGUGUGGGAACUUACUAGAGUCUGCAUAUCAGAGGCAUAUGAGGACCAAGUGGAAUGGCAUUCAAAGGAAACAACAGCAAUAGGUAGCUUUAGGGAGGAGGAGAGGGCCCUGCAUUUGUAUUCAUGAGGAACAGUUAAUUUACACCAAAAGUAGAGAUGAUUGGACAAACCCACAUUUCUGUAGUAUUUGUGGCUGAUAAAGUGAUUCAGUCAUUCAGCAAACAUUUGAUGAGCAUCUACUAUGUGCCAAGUUUGUGCUCAAGAUCACAGAUAUGAAGGGAGUAAGACAUGACCUAGCUCCAAGAGUUCACAGUCUAAAAGGAAAGGCUGGUCAAUACUCGGGUAUUAAAGUACCAUGUGAAAAUCAUAUGUACAGAGUGCUAAAUGAGUACAUAUAGAUAGUGCUAGCCAAGGGGUGCUAUUUCUCUGAGAAGUACAGAGAAAGGGCACAUAGUCCUAUGUUAGUAAGUUCAAGAAAUGCUUAUUGGAAAAAGUGACAUCAAAUCUCACUCCUAAAGUGGAGAAAGCCAUACUACAAGUUUUGGGGAGAGUGUUCUAUGCAGAGGAAAGAGCCCGUGGGAAGUUCUAGGAAUAUAAGAAUUAACAGGCUGCAAAUGUUUGGGUGUGACUAGUACACAGGGUUCCUGGGUGUUUGUAUGUGGCAAGUAGGAAAAGGGCUGGCAGUAGCGGUAGAGGAAAGACAUGAAUUUGGGAGGUAAGCAGGGGGUCAAAUUGUGAAGGGCUCUCUGUAUACUGCUGAAGAUUCUAUAGUUUCUCCUGAAAUCCAUGAGGGAGCCCCCUGAAGGAUUUUGGACAGGAAAGUGUCAUGAAUCAAAUUUCUAUUUUAAGAAUAGUAUCGAGGCAGCAAUGUCAAAGUUUGUUUAGAAAAUAGGAUGGUUCCUGUAAUCCCAGAACUUUUGGAGACCAAGGCGGGAGGAUUGCUUGAGUCCAGGAAUUUGAGUCCAGCCUGGGCAACAUAGUGAGACC